Non-coding RNA from Brachypodium distachyon (stiff brome), 116 nucleotides. The record is from Rfam. Lineage: Eukaryota; Viridiplantae; Streptophyta; Magnoliopsida; Poales; Poaceae.
UCACGUACCCUUUGACCCUUCUUAGUUCAAACAAAUGAACUAAAAAUUUAAAGUGACACAACUUUUUGAAAAACUAGCUCAUUUGUUUGAACUAAGAAGGGUCAAAGGGUAUGCAG